UACGGAGGGUGCGAGCGUUGUCCGGAAUCACUGGGCGUAAAGGGCGCGUAGGUGGCGUCGCAAGUCAACGGUGAAAGCUCGACGCUCAACGUCGAGUCGGCCGUCGAGACUGCGAGGCUUGAGCACUGUAGAGGCAGAUGGAAUUCCGGGUGUAGCGGUGGAAUGCGUAGAGAUCCGGAAGAACACCGGUGGCGAAGGCGACUAUCUGGGCUGCAACUGACGCUGAGGCGCGAAGGCUAGGGUAGCAAACAGG
This 253-nucleotide ribosomal RNA is filed under the name uncultured bacterium. RNAcentral's name for it is "partial 16S ribosomal RNA". It matches the Rfam family "Bacterial small subunit ribosomal RNA", at positions 524 to 776 of the family's 1533-position model. The record is from RNAcentral.